Molecule: ribosomal RNA, 569 nt
Filed under: uncultured Gammaproteobacteria bacterium
Lineage: Bacteria; Pseudomonadati; Pseudomonadota; Gammaproteobacteria
Description: bacterial SSU rRNA
Rfam family: Bacterial small subunit ribosomal RNA
Source: RNAcentral
UCGAUUUGGAGUUUGUUGCCUAGAGUGAUGGGCUCCGAAGCUAACGCGAUAAAUCGACCGCCUGGGGAGUACGGCCGCAAGGUUAAAACUCAAAUGAAUUGACGGGGGCCCGCACAAGCGGUGGAGCAUGUGGUUUAAUUCGAUGCAACGCGAAGAACCUUACCUGGUCUUGGCAUCCACAGAAUCUUUCAGAGAUGAGGGAGUGCCUUCGGGAACUGUGAGACAGGUGCUGCAUGGCUGUCGUCAGCUCGUGUUGUGAAAUGUUGGGUUAAGUCCCGCAACGAGCGCAACCCUUAUCCUUUGUUGCCAGCGAUUAGGUCGGGAACUCAAAGGAGACUGCCGUUGAUAAAACGGAGGAAGGUGGGGACGACGUCAAGUCAUCAUGGCCCUUACGACCAGGGCUACACACGUGCUACAAUGGCGUAUACAAAGGGAAGCGAAGGUGCGAGCUGGAGCGGACCUCCUAAAGUACGUCUAAGUCCGGAUUGGAGUCUGCAACUCGACUCCAUGAAGUCGGAAUCGCUAGUAAUCGUGAAUCAGAAUGUCACGGUGAAUACGUUCCCGGGCCU